UACGGAGGUGGCUAGCGUUGUUCGGAAUUACUGGGCGUAAAGGGCGCGUAGGCGGCUUUGCAAGUCGGAUGUGAAAGCCCCGGGCUCAACUCGGGAAUUGCAUCCGAAACUGCUUUGCUUGAGUCCUGGAGGGGGUAGUGGAAUUCCCAGUGUAGCGGUGAAAUGCGUAGAUAUUGGGAGGAACACCGGUGGCGAAGGCGGCUACCUGGACAGUGACUGACGCUGAGGCGCGAAAGCUAGGGGAGCGAACGGGA
This 254-nucleotide ribosomal RNA is filed under the name uncultured prokaryote. RNAcentral's name for it is "partial 16S ribosomal RNA". It matches the Rfam family "Bacterial small subunit ribosomal RNA", at positions 524 to 777 of the family's 1533-position model. The record is from RNAcentral.